RNAcentral lists this ribosomal RNA (465 nucleotides) under Vreelandella stevensii. RNAcentral describes it as "partial 16S ribosomal RNA". It matches the Rfam family "Bacterial small subunit ribosomal RNA", at positions 338 to 795 of the family's 1533-position model. Lineage: Bacteria; Pseudomonadati; Pseudomonadota; Gammaproteobacteria; Oceanospirillales; Halomonadaceae. The record is from RNAcentral.
CCUACGGGAGGCAGCAGUGGGGAAUAUUGGACAAUGGGGGGAACCCUGAUCCAGCCAUGCCGCGUGUGUGAAGAAGGCCCUCGGGUUGUAAAGCACUUUCAGUGAGGAAGAACGCCUGGUGGUUAAUACCCAUCAGGAAAGACAUCACUCACAGAAGAAGCACCGGCUAACUCCGUGCCAGCAGCCGCGGUAAUACGGAGGGUGCGAGCGUUAAUCGGAAUUACUGGGCGUAAAGCGCGCGUAGGUGGCUUGAUAAGCCGGUUGUGAAAGCCCCGGGCUCAACCUGGGAACGGCAUCCGGAACUGUCAAGCUAGAGUGCAGGAGAGGAAGGUAGAAUUCCCGGUGUAGCGGUGAAAGGCGUAGAGAUCGGGAGGAAUACCAGUGGCGAAGGCGGCCUUCUGGACUGACACUGACACUGAGGUGCGAAAGCGUGGGUAGCAAACAGGAUUAGAUACCCGGGUAGUC